This 491-nucleotide ribosomal RNA is filed under the name uncultured bacterium. RNAcentral describes it as "partial 16S ribosomal RNA". It matches the Rfam family "Bacterial small subunit ribosomal RNA", at positions 29 to 507 of the family's 1533-position model. The record is from RNAcentral.
GUGAACGCUGGCGGUAGGCCUAACACAUGCCAGUCGAACGGCAGCACCGUAAGAGCUUGCUCUUACGGGUGGCGAGUGGCGGACGGGUGAGGAAUACAUCGGAAUCUACUUUUUCGUGGGGGAUAACGUAGGGAAACUUACGCUAAUACCGCAUACGACCUACGGGUGAAAGCAGGGGAUCUUCGGACCUUGCGCGAUUGAAUGAGCCGAUGUCGGAUUAGCUAGUUGGCGGGGUAAAGGCCCACCAAGGCGACGAUCCGUAGUUGGUCUGAGAGGAUGAUCAGCCACACUGGAACUGAGACACGGUCCAGACUCCUACGGGAGGCAGCAGUGGGGAAUAUUGGACAAUGGGCGCAAGCCUGAUCCAGCCAUACCGCGUGGGUGAAGAAGGCCUUCGGGUUGUAAAGCCCUUUUGUUGGGAAAGAAAAGCAGCAGGUUAAUACCCCGCUGUUCUGACGGUACCCAAAGAAUAAGCACCGGCUAACUUCGUG